AUGCCGGGGCUCCUCGCCUACUCGGGCGCCGGGCUGGGCCUCCUGGCCCUGGCGGCGCUCGAGGCCCUCCAGCCGCGCCUCCGGCCGCUCCCGCUCCUCCCGCGCCGCCUCUCCACGCCGCGGCACCACCGUCACCUCCUCGCCGCGCUGCUCUCCGCGCUCUGCCUCCUCUCGGCGCUGCUCUCCGCGCACCACCUCGCGCUGCCCACGCUCGCCGCCUCCGCGCUCUUCCUGCUCCACUCCCUCGCCCCGUUCGCGUUCGCGCGGCUCGCCGCCCCGCCACCGCCGCCGCUGCUCGACCUCCUCCUCGCCGCGGCCUUCGGGCAGGAGCUGCUGCUCUUCGCGCACCGCCGCCCCUCCACCGCCGCCGGCAUCGAGAACCGCUACUUCGACCUCUUCCUCGUCCCCGUCGUCGUCUGCCUCGGCGCCACCCUGCUCGCCGCGCACCGCCCGGGGGCCGCGCCGCCCCGCCUCGCCCGCGCCGCGGGGAUCGCCCUGCAGGGCACCUGGAUGCUGCAGAUGGGCUUCUCCUUCUUCACCGACGCCAUCGCCGCCGGCUGCGCGCUCCACGCGCAGAGCCGGGCGGACUACACCAUCAAGUGCCGCACCCACGAGGACUACCACCGCGCGCGCUCCGUCGCCACGCUGCAGUUCAACGGCCACCUCGCGCUGCUCGUGCUCGCCGGGGCGGCCACGUACGCUGCUGUCAUCUCCAGAGGGAACGGCAGUCCACCGAGCGGCUACAGGAUGCUGGGCAAGGAAGUGCAGAUGGAGGGCAUGCCAUUGACAUCUCAGUUCACCCUGGAUUCGGAUGAGGAGAAGGAAGAUGAAGGGAUCGCAACCGCAGAGCCACCGGUGGCGAGUGGGGUGAACUCACAUCGCCAGAUCUCCGAGCAGACACCUGAUGAUCCCAAGUGA
This 918-nucleotide ribosomal RNA is filed under the name Triticum aestivum (bread wheat). RNAcentral's name for it is "partial small subunit ribosomal RNA". Lineage: Eukaryota; Viridiplantae; Streptophyta; Magnoliopsida; Poales; Poaceae. The record is from RNAcentral.